This is a long non-coding RNA of Neofelis nebulosa (Clouded leopard), 4357 nucleotides long. RefSeq lists it as uncharacterized. NCBI's taxonomy places the organism in Eukaryota, Metazoa, Chordata, Mammalia, Carnivora, Felidae. The transcript is spliced from 3 exons. The record is from RefSeq and is a predicted model, not a curated record.
UCCUUUCUCCCAGACUCAUCUCUGGCCUUCCUCCCAUUUUAGCGGCAAUCGGAGGAGGUGGUUCCCCGUAACUCCGCGAAGAGGUUGCAACUGGAUCACUUCUUGCUCCUUGGAGUGUCUAAGAGGAAGACUUGUAUCUCUCCAGAUCAUUUACUUCAACAAGAACUUCAGAUCCUUGACAGAUGACAUCAUGAUCCACCUUUGCCUCUGAUACUCAUAGCCUCACUUUGCUAAAGAAAUGAAUCAUGGCAGGAGAGAAGCAACAUAAGGCAUGGAAAACCAUAGAGCCUAACUAAUGCAUUGCUUAAAAUAUCAAGUAGAUUUCACCCCAGUUGAUCUUCCUAUAGUGAGACAGUGGAUAAAGGCUCUCUGCUUAACAACAAGGUAUGUAAAUGAGAAAUCUUUUCAGUUUCCAAUUGAUGGUGAAAAAAUUUGUUGAACUGAGUGUUUAUACAUAAGUGUACUUUAAUAAAUUCCAAGUGGUCAACAGCAAAUGCCAGUUGAAAACCAUUCUGUGAAUCUUUGGAAAUUUGCUUAUUUAAGGUUAAAAUUAUUCACUUCUCAAUCUCAUUUUUUUUUAUUUUUUAAAAAUGUUCAAUAUUCUAAACAUAUGCAAAGAUAAAGAAUUUAAAGUGAUCCUUUAUAUGCACUUCACCCAAAUUUGACAACUGUCAGCUCAGAGACAAUCCUGUUUUAUUUAUAGCCUUACCCACUCCUCUUCCUCCUUCUUGGGGAUUAUUUUGUAAUACAUGCCAAACAUCCUAUCAUUUAACAUAUAAAUGUUUUAGUAUGAAUCUCUAAAGGAUAAGAAUGCUCUUUAAAAAUAUAACUACAAGUGGAACAAGAUGGCAACAGAGUAGGAGGACACUAGGCUCAUCUGGUGUCAUGAACACAACUAGAUGACUAUCAAAUUAUCCUAAAUACCCCGGAAAUUGACCUUAAUACAGAACAAAUUCCACAACUAAAGGGAGAGAAGAGGCCACAUCGAAGAUGGCAGGAAGGCAGGAUGUGGUUUAGGGAGAAAUGGAUCAUAGGUGCUGCAAAGGGAAGGGAGCCAUGGUCACAGAAAAGGGUGAGAGAGAGAGAGGAGCACUCAGGAGAACACACAAGGAGGAUGCUUCCCCAAAGCCAUUGGCUUGGAAAACAAGAGGGGCUGAAUUUUGUGAGUUCAUGAAACCAUCAGGGCUUAAAGCCUGGAGUGUUAAAAGUCAGUGAGCUUGGCUGGGAUAGACCCCUGAGGGCACUGUCCUGCUCCAGGAGAGAAGGCAGGCAAACAACAGGGGGAGGGGCUGGGACAGACAGUGUGAAAACAGCAAUCUGAAGAAUGCCUGGGGCACACAGUACAGAUAUUAUUCACUAGUCUAGGAGCUUCCCUGUGAGGCAGUUUUCACAGUGAUUCCUCUCCAGGAACAAAAGACCGUCUGGUGCCAUUUCACUCUCCUACCCCUCAGCAUAAACACAGAGCCACCCACAGGAAGCAGCGCAGCUCCAACACAGGCUACCUAACUUGCUUACACCAAGUCCCACCCCACUGCAGUCUGGAGGGAUGGCUCUUCUCAGUCAACCUUGCCUCAGUACCAGCAUGGCAGACCCUUUCCCAAGAACACUAGUGAUGUGGAAACCUAACACAGGCUAAGGGCAAAGCACAAGCUAGCACAUGACCACCACCACCACCCCCACCCCAGGUGGGAUAUGUGUGAUAUUCCUCAGGCACUCCUGGCUGCCCAAGAACAAAGGAAAGGAAAGAAAACAAAUGGUUAACUGAUAGAGAUCACAGUCAUACAAUACAUGGGUCUCCAUCAGUUUACAAAUAUCUUAGUAAAUUACAACAAAAAGGCAAUCUUAUCAAUAGCCUAAUCUCCAGAAACCUGUAGACUCAGUUUCUUGGAGCCCCAACAUCGCCCCUCCAUAGUGAUAUGGGGAACAAAGGCAAGAAGGAAAAUAGCAGGUAAAAUUAAAUUUCCUUAUAACCUGCAGCCCAUUGACAAAUACUUGGGACUGGCAGAGUAGAACAUUUCUCCAGGAACUCCCUAUUCUCUUAAUGUUAAUGCUCUGCUAGAAGGAAAAACAACCUUACUUUGACAAUAGCUAGACCUCUAAUAUCCUGUGAAUCUUCUUGAGCAUAUGAAAAUCUCUUUGAAAACUUUCCCUUGACUUUACCUUCUCCAACUCCAUAGUAUAUAACCAGUCACUCUUCACAACCCCAGUGCAGCUCUUUCUGCCUAUGGGUCCUUUCCCAUGCUUUAACAAAAUCACCUUUUUGCACCAAAGAUGUCUUCAAGAAUUCUUUCUUGGCUGUCCCCACCAUCACCCCAAACCUCAUCACCAGCACAGACCCCUAUCCACACCAUGUCUCCUGACCAGAGAGUUCUACAGGGCCUCAGUUCUGGUGGAGUUGGUGUUGGAUCUCAUUUUACAAGCAGACCAGAGCACACCUAGUUAAAGUUGCCACAUUUAGGCCAAGGACCAAACAAUGCCCACUGCAGGCAAGAAGAGCCUCUGCAAAUGAAUGGUCUAAAGGAUAUAGAGCAGCAAAAACGCAACAGCAGAGCACAUACAGUACACACUGGAGACACUCCAUGAAGCACAGACCGUGGGUGCUACGUGACCUCUUCUUCAUAAAGCCAUUACUUUUAGGAGCAGGAGGCAAAAAAGGCUUUUCUAGAAAACACACAGAAGAAGGCAGAGACUUAGCAAAAUGCCAAGAUGGGGGAAUGUAUCCCACAUGAGAGAACAAGAUAAGGUCACAGUCAGAUAUAUAAGUGAAACAGAUAUAAGUAACAUGCGUGAUGAAGACUUUAAAGCAAAAAUCAUACGGAUAUUCAUUGGGCUUGAGAAAAGAAUGAAAGACAAGCAUCCAACUCUUGAUUUUGGCUCAGGUCAUGAUCUCACAGUUUCAUGAGUUCUAGCCCCACAUCAGGCUCUGUGUGCUAAACUAGCUGAGCCUGCUUGGGAUUAUCCGUCUCCCUCUCUCUCUGCCCCUCCCCCACUCAUGCUUUCUCUGUCUCUCUCAAAGAAAUUUUAAAAAAGAAUCAAUCAAAGAUAAAGAAUGCAAUAAACAAGAUUGGAAACAGCUUGAUGGAAUGAACAGCAGGCUGGAAAAAAUAGAGGAAUGAAUUAAUGACCUAGAAGACAAAGUAAUGGAAAAUAAUGAAGCUGAACAAAAGAGAGAAAGAAAAAUUAUGCAACAUAAGAAUAGACUUGACGAACUCAGUGACUCCAUUAGAAUAUAAUAACAUUUGUAUUAUAGGAGACCCAGAAGAAGAAGAGAGAAAAUGGGGCAGAAAAUUUAUCUCAAGAAAUAACAGCAGAAAACAUCUCAAAUCUGGGGGAAGAAAUAGCUAUCCAGAUCCUUGAGGCACAGAGAACUCCCAUUAAGAUCAACAAAAGCAGGCCAACAUGAAUUAAAUUUAUAAAAUGCAGUGAUAAAGGAAAACCUUAAAAGCAGGAAGACAAAAGAAGGGCUUAACUUAUAAGGGAAAACCCAUAAGACUAGCUGGAGAUUUCUCGACAGAAACUUGGCAAGCCAGAAGGUAGUGGCAUGAUAUAUUCAAUGUGCUGAAUGGGGAAAAUCUGCAGGCAACAAUACUCUAUCCAGCAAGGCCAUCGUUCAGAAAAGAAGAAGAGAUAAAGAGUUUACCAGACAAACAAAAAUUAAAGGAUUUCGUGAGCCAGCCAUGUAAGAAAUAUGAAAGGGGACUCUGAGUGCAAAGGAGAGACCAAAAGUAAUAAAGACAAGAAAGAAUCCGUGAAAAUCUCCAGAAACAAUAACAAAUCAAGUAAUAAAAUGGCACACAAAAAAGUAUCUAUCAAUAAUUACGUUGAAUGUAAAUGGACUAAACACUCCCAUCAAAAGACAUAGGGUGUCAGAAUGGGUUAAAAAAAAUAAAAUUAAAAUUAAAUAAAUAAAAUAAAAUAAAAUAAACCCAUCCAUAUGCUGCCUAUAAGAGACUCACUUUAGACCUAAAGACACCUGCAGAUUGAAAGUGAGGGGGUAGAGAAACAUUUAUCAUGCAAAUGGAUGUAAAAAGAAAGAUAUAAAAAUUGGACAAACCAGGUUUUUUGUUCUUGUUUUUAUCCUUCUUUGGUAUCAGGGUAGUACUGGCCUCAUGGAAUUAUUUUGAAUGUGUUCUCUGUUCCAUUAUAUGUAAGAUUUUGAUAAAGAUUACCAUUAAUUAAAUGUUUAUUAGAAUUCACCAAUGAACCCAUGUAGUCUUGGGCUGUUCUUUGCUGGGAGAUUUUUGAUUCCUAAUACAACAUUCGUUCUUGUUAUUGAUCUAAGAUAAUUUCCCACCUCUUGGAUUCAAGAUUCAUGAUUCAAUCUUGAUAAAUUAUGUAUUUUUAGGAAUUAUCUGGG